Molecule: ribosomal RNA, 236 nt
Filed under: uncultured bacterium
Lineage: Bacteria
Description: partial small subunit ribosomal RNA
Rfam family: Bacterial small subunit ribosomal RNA
Source: RNAcentral
AGAGCGAACGCUGGCGGCAGGCCUAACACAUGCAAGUCGAGCGCCCGUAGCAAUACGGGAGCGGCAGACGGGAUAGUAACACGUGGGAACGCGCCCUUCGGUUCGGAAUAACUCAGGGAAACUUGAGCUAAUACCGGAUACGCCCUUACGGGGAAAGAUUUAUUGCCGAAGGAACGGCCCGCGUCCGAUUAGCUAGUUGGUGAGGUAAUGGCUCACCAAGGCUCCGAUCAGUAUCC